RNAcentral lists this ribosomal RNA (433 nucleotides) under uncultured bacterium. RNAcentral's name for it is "partial 16S ribosomal RNA". It matches the Rfam family "Bacterial small subunit ribosomal RNA", at positions 29 to 507 of the family's 1533-position model. The record is from RNAcentral.
AACGAACGCUGGCGGCAUGCCUAACACAUGCAAGUCGAACGAGACCUUCGGGUCUAGUGGCGCACGGGUGCGUAACGCGUGGGAACCUGCCCUUAGGUUCGGAAUAACUCCCCGAAAGGGGUGCUAAUACCGGGUAAUGUCUUCGGACCAAAGAUUUAUCGCCCUUGGAUGGGCCCGCGUUGGCUUAGCUUGUUGGUAGGGUAAAAGCCUACCAAGGCGACGAUCCAUAGCUGGUCUGAGAGGCUGAUCCGCCACACUGGGACUGAGCCACGGCCCGGACUCCUACGGGAGGCAGCAGUGGGGGAUCUUGGACAAUGGGCGAAAGCAUGAUCCAGCACUGCCGCGUGAGUGAUGAAGGCCUUAGGGUUGUAAAGCUCUUUUACCCGGGAUGAUAAUGACAGUACCGGGAGAAUAAGCUCCGGCUAACUCCGUG